GACGAACGCUGGCGGCGUGCUUAACACAUGCCAGUCGAGCGGAAAGGCCACUUCGGUGGUACUCGAGCGGCGAACGGGUGAGUAACACGUGAGUGAUCUGCCCCCAACUUGGGUAUAAGCCUGGGAAACUGGGUCUAAUUCCCGAUAGGACUGCAGGGUGGUGCCUGUGGUGGAAAACGAUUUUCUAGUGGUUGGGGAUGAGCUCGCGGCCUAUCAGCUUGUUGGUGGGGUAAUGGCCUACCAAGGCGGCGACGGGUAGCCGGCCUGAGAGGGUGGACGGCCACAUUGGGACUGAGAUACGGCCCAGACUCCUACGGGAGGCAGCAGUGGGGAAUAUUGCACAAUGGGCGGAAGCCUGAUGCAGCGACGCCGCGUGGGGGAUGACGGCCUUCGGGUUGUAAACUCCUUUCGACCGCGAGGAAGCCACCUGGUUGGAAGGGUGGUGACGGUAGUGGUAGAAGAAGCACCGGCUAACUACGUG
Molecule: ribosomal RNA, 481 nt
Filed under: uncultured bacterium
Lineage: Bacteria
Description: partial 16S ribosomal RNA
Rfam family: Bacterial small subunit ribosomal RNA
Source: RNAcentral